UUUCAACACUUUGGCAGGUCUGAAGGCAAAAGAGUCCAAACCAGGACUAGCAAGGUGUACCUAAUAUAGCUGUUUAGUGUGUGUGUGUGUGUGUGUGUGUGUGUGUGUGUAAAAUAAAUAAAUAAUAUGGUAAUGGCUCUUUCCACUACUGAUAUAUAUAUAUAUAUAUAUAUAUAAGUUAAAUUAGGCUGUAAAACUAAAUCUUACUUUAGAUAAAUUUUAUUUUGUUAUUUCAUAAUGUGUCCUAAACUGUAGUUAAAAUAAAUGUCAGGCUUCCUUUAUUUCACAUAUUGUAGCCUGUAAAUCAGGUUUGAGAGUCAGAGCUGAGGAGAAAACUUUGGCUCUCUCUGCUCCUCCAUCAGUGACCCUCCCCCUCCCCCCGCGCACCUGCACUGCAGCUCGCAAACUUUUGCAGGGCAUGUGACGUCAUUCAGUCCACAGUCGGAGUAGCCGUUUAAGUGGAGCUCUGAAGACUGCAAAGCUUUCUGCAGGUGAAGGAAGCCACGGCAGCAAGCCAAACACAGACGAUAAUGUGGCCCUCACAUGCAGCGAUGACGGCUGUUCUGAUAGUGGUGUUGUAGAUGAAAGUCCCACAGCAGCUACUCCGUGUCGCCCAGAGAAAUGAGAAAGGAGGAGGCAGUGAGAUGGAUGAAGGUGGAAGUUCUGAGCAUUUCUCCUAUCAAAAGAGACCGGAGCACACCAGUGAAGAGAGUGCAGAUGUAGAUGAAGAGAGCAAGGACGCAAGACUGGCUCUGAGGAAAAGAGGAAAAACCAAAGUGGCCAAAGCAAAGGAGAAACCCUGUGUGAAGGUCAAGAGGCCGUGGAGUGGAGAAAACAACAGUACAAAGACGGUUAUCAGCUUUUCUGAUUUGUUAUUUUUAACCCAUACAAACAAAUCAAGUACUUAAUGAUCACUUUGUUGGUGUAAGUCAUGAAAAGUAGUUACACAUACCUCAACAUAUGCAGAUGUUUAAUAAUCCGAGUUCAUUGUAUUUACCAGUUCCCUAAGGAAAGUUUCCCAUUGAAUGUCCCCAUUUAGGUUAAAGUGAGUGUAUUUGUGUUAAAAACGUCCCCAAAAGUCAUAAGAAUAUGGCAUACUAAUGACUAUAGUUGGAUAUGUUUUGGGAUUAUUUUUCUAAAAAUAGUAUCAUGUUCCUUUUUCAGUAUAAAUCUAUCUAUGAAGUCUGUAAACAAUUUAUCAAUGAUCCCCACACUCAAGCAAGGGUUAUGUUAAAAAAAAAAACCUUCAUUAUGUCUAAGAUUUAAAAAUACGGAACAAAUACCAAUCAGAAUGAGGACUAAGAUAAAGAAAUCCAUCCGAAAAGUAGUUACACGUACCUUAACAUAUGCAGAUGUUUAAUAAUCCGAGUUCAUUGUAUUUACCAGUUCCCUAAGGAAAGUUUCCCAUUGAAUGUCUCCAUUUAGGUUAAAGCGGAGUGUAUUUGUGUUUAAAAACGUCCCCAAAAGUCAUAACUAUAUGGCAUACUAAUGACUAUAGUUGGAUAUGCUUUGUAUUUUUUAAAACAAAAUAGUAUCAUGUACCUUUUUUCUGUAUAAAUGUAUACAUGAAGUUCAAGAACAAUUUAUCAAUGAUCACCACACUGAAGAGUUAUGUUGUAAAACCCUUCAUUAUGUCUAAGAUUUGGAAAUAUGAAACAAAUACCAAUCAGAAUGAGGACUAAGAUAAAGCAAUCCAUCCCCCAAAUGAUUACACAUACUUUAACAUAAGCAAAUAUUUAAUAAUCCUAUUCAUUGUAUUUACCAGUUCCCUAAGGAAAGUUUCCCAUUGACUGUCCCCAUUUAGGUUAAAGCGGAGUGUAUUUGUGUUAGAAACGUCCCCAAAAGUCAUAAGAUUCAGCUGUACCAAUAACUAUAGUUGGAUAUGUUUUUGCAAUGUUUAAAUGGAGGUAUAUUUCUGUAUUUAGUGUUAAUCUACCUUUGAGAUCAGUUAAUAGUUAAUGGUCACUGAUCGUUAAUGAUCACUGUACUCUGGUACUAUACCAAUUCAAUUUCAUUUAUGUAUAUCCUUUUGAUUGUCCUCAUUCAGGUUAACGCAGUGCAUUUUUGUUAGAAAUGUCCCCAGAAGUUAUAAGAGUCAUCUUUUUUGGCAGUUUUCAAUUGUCUCUUGUCUAUUUGUUAUUCAUGUUAAAUCUACUCGUAACAUCAGUGAAAACUAAAAUUAAGAAAUCCAUUCUAAAAUCGUACAGCUUGUCUUAUCACUCACAGAUCUUUAAUACUGUACUUAUUGGUGCCCUCAGGUAAAGGAUAUUUUGAUUGGUUCUAAUGUAGGUUAAAGAAGUGUGUUUAUUAAUAAUUAAAUUAAAUCUUUUAUGAUAGGUUUGCUUCAAAGUUUGGAUAGUUUCUGCAAAUGAAAUGAACCCUUAGUAAUUGUGUACAAAUUAUCUGUGUUAACAAUUCAUAGUUGAAAUUAGAAAUUUCUUUUUUCAUUUAAAUAGAAUAUAAAAACUAGGUUAACUGUCUAAUGUUUGCCUAUUUAACUUAUGUUUAUCUACUCAGGGCUAACCAAGCUGAAGCAGCAUCAUGAGAAAUGCCUGAAACGUAAAAAAAAAAAAAAAUCUGCAAAAUCCGGAUUCCUCAAGGAAUGAGAUUGAGUGUCUUCUUUCAGGUAUGGAGGCAACAAAAACACAAUAGAAUAAGAAAACAGAUCAAGAUGAAGACAGGGACCAGGGACUUCUUCCCAGUGAACAUAUUUGGAAGCAAAGUUCUUGCCUUACAAUUUGCUGGUAACAAACACUCAAUAGUACAGAUGAUUUUUUUCCCCACGUUUCUCUGCAUUAAUGAUGUGCAUGUAUACUCCCAAAACAACACAGUAGUAAUAAAUGCAGUCAAAAAUUUAAAUUGUUCUAUGGCCGAGACAAUGGACAUAGUUUUGAUUUCUUCAAGAUAAAUAGAGACCUUAAUUAUUGUUUAGAUUAUUGUUAGAUUGGGUAUUUAACCUUACAUUGUACUUUGAAGGACUUACCUUUAAGGGAAGUAAUAUCCCCAAAACUGACAUAAAAUAACUUGUGUAUGUGUGUAUUGCUGAAGACCCCAAAGGGGAGUAAGUGUCAGGAUGCCUGGGUCGUUGACCCAUGGUUUUGAGUUUAGAAAUGAUAAAUAAUAGUCUUUGGUUUCUUUGUUAGAGUUCUGUCUUUUUGUUUUUUGUCUCUGUGUAAUCCUUAGUUGCUGUCUCCCCUGUCUGCUAUAUCCACUCAGUGUCUGUCUGCCCUGGUCCCAUGUCUCUCUGUUGUAGUGCCUGCCUGUGAGUCUGUCUGUAAGUUCAGUCUGUGUUAUGUUUCCUGUUUUACUUUGAAAGUCCGUGUCUUAUGUUAAUGUAUCUGGUUUUGCUUCCCCUGUUUCGUUAGGCCUGAUUUGCCCCAGCUGUGUUUCCCUCCUGUUACUCAUUCCCUGAUUGCUCCCUCUGUGUAUUUAAGCCCUGUGUUUCUUUGUGUCUGUGUCGCGAUCUACCCUCAUCUUGCUUUGUGUUCUGUCCGUUUGCCAGUGUAAGUUUAUUCUGUAUUCCUUGAUUUGUUACUUUUUGAGUUUAGCAUUAAAGCUGUAUUUGAGUUCACGUUUUGCCUCCGAGUGUCUGCACUUUGGGUCCUCCUACUACCAUCCCUGCCUGCACACAGCCUACACAUGACAGUAAGGUCCCCAAAACUGACAUAAAAUAACUUGUGUAUGUGUGUGUUGCUGAAGACCCCAAAUGGAAGUAAGGUCCCCAAAAGUGGCAUAAAAUAGUUUGUGUAUGUGUGUGUUGCUGAAGACCCCAAAUGGAAGUAAGGUCCCCAAAAGUGGCAUAAAAUAGUUUGUGUAUGUGUGUGUUGCUGAAGACCCCAAAUGGAAGUAAGGUCCCCAAAAGUGACAUAAAAUAGUUUGUGUAUGUGUGUGUUGCUGAAGACCCCAAAUGGAAGUAAGGUCCCCAAAAGUGACAUAAAAUGGUUUGUUUAUCUGUGUAUCGCUGAAGACCCCAAAGUGGACAUUAAACAUUCCCAGUCCCCAAUGGGAAGGUAAAAAUACUGUCUGGACAAAAGUUGCUUAAAAUGAAAAUCUCAAGUGAUUUUUUAUUUCUGUGGUCUUGGAGGAGUAAAACCCAGUUGCCAGCUUGCUUCUAAACCAUACAGAAAGUGGUGUCCCCAAAGGGUGGGAGUUAAGAUAUGCGACCCCAAACGGGACUUAAGCGGGUAUGUGUGUGUGUGUGUGUGUGUGACAGAGAGAGAGAGA
Molecule: long non-coding RNA, 4224 nt
Organism: Oreochromis aureus
Lineage: Eukaryota; Metazoa; Chordata; Actinopteri; Cichliformes; Cichlidae
Source: Ensembl